CAGUCGCCACGGUAAUACGUAGGUGGCAAGCGUUGUCCGGAAUUAUUGGGCGUAAAGCGCGCGCAGGCGGAUCAGUCAGUCUGUCUUAAAAGUUCGGGGCUUAACCCCGUGAGGGGAUGGAAACUGCUGAUCUAGAGUAUCGGAGAGGAAAGCGGAAUUCCCAGUGUAGCGGUGAAAUGCGUAGAUAUUGGGAGGAACACCAGUGGCGAAGGCGGCUUUCUGGACUGCAACUGACGCUGAGGCUCGAAAGCCAGGGGAGCGGACGGGAUUAGAUACCCCCGUAGUCCCUGUCUCUUAUACA
This 301-nucleotide ribosomal RNA is filed under the name uncultured bacterium. RNAcentral describes it as "partial 16S ribosomal RNA". It matches the Rfam family "Bacterial small subunit ribosomal RNA", at positions 509 to 809 of the family's 1533-position model. The record is from RNAcentral.